RNAcentral lists this ribosomal RNA (371 nucleotides) under uncultured bacterium. RNAcentral's name for it is "bacterial SSU rRNA". It matches the Rfam family "Bacterial small subunit ribosomal RNA", at positions 335 to 695 of the family's 1533-position model. The record is from RNAcentral.
ACUCCUACGGGAGGCAGCAGUGGGGAAUAUUGCACAAUGGGCGCAAGCCUGAUGCAGCCAUGCCGCGUGUGUGAAGAAGGCCUUGGGUUGUAAAGCACUUUCAGUCGUGAGGAAGGUAGUGUAGUUAAUAGCUGCAUUAUUUGUACGUUAGCGACAGAAGAAGCACCGGCUAACUCCGUGCCAGCAGCCGCGGUAAUACGGAGGGUGCGAGCGUUAAUCGGAAUUACUGGGCGUAAAGCGCAUGCGAGGUUGGUUUGUUAAGUCAGAUGUGAAAGCCCGGGGCUCAACCUCGGAAUAGCAUUUGAAACUGGCAGACUAGAGUACUGGUAGAGGGGGUAGUAAUUUCAGGUGUAGCGGUGAAAUGCGUAGAG